Vidua macroura (Pin-tailed whydah) is the source of this 1529-nucleotide long non-coding RNA. RefSeq lists it as uncharacterized. The transcript has 5 exons. The record is from RefSeq and is a predicted model, not a curated record. NCBI's taxonomy places the organism in Eukaryota, Metazoa, Chordata, Aves, Passeriformes, Viduidae.
GCUAGGUCGUGUCCAGGCACCAUCUGAUACAGAACAAGACCACCCACAGAGGACACCCAGCAGGCAGAUCUGCCAGGCUGCUGCUGUCCUGCUGCAGAGAUACUGAAAGCAGAAAUGGUGACAAACAGGCAGUGACAUUAGCAGCACAACAGGAAAUGCUCAGAGAUGAAGAGAGAGAGGCUGGAAGAUAGGAAUGAGACAAGGGCUUACAUAAUCAUAUUUAGGCAACCAUAAACCCAUAUUAACACCUUCCCCUAUGUCCCACUAAAUUUUUAAUUCCAGAGGUGCCUGGAAGCACUAUGUAAAGUGAAAUCAAACCACAUCAAUGUAACAUGUGGCAUGUGGCAUGAGCAGACAGUUCAGUUAAGUCCUACUGCUAACACCUUAAUAGCUUUCAGACUAAGGAGUGUGUUUCUCACCCUUGCUCUCCUACCUUCUACAUGGAGCAAGAAGUACCAUUACAGGAGGCCUUCCCCACACCAAACAGAAGAUACAUGAGCAGAUAUCCUCUCUACUUCACAGGAGCUGCCAAUAGAAAUUCCUUAGCUCUGUGAGGAAUAUAGUCUGAGGCCUUGUGAAUUAUGAGGUCACCUGAAAUAGAACAAUCACGCCAGGCAUUUCCAAAUCCUCCUGGUCACAAGGAGUGAACUUAAUAAAACACUUGUUUAACUAACAGCAACUGAGGUGUCAUGAGCAAGUGAAUUCCCCAUCACUUCCUCUUGUCACCUGUGAUCAAUCAACCUCAGGAGGUUCAGAAGUUCAUUCAUAACCUGCAGAAGAGCAGGACUGUAGGCCCAGACACAUGUGGUGUCUCUGAGCCCUUUCUCUGCAUCCUUGGCCAGUGGGGCUUCAUAUUCAGACAAAGGUCUCCGAGGAGUGACAAGGCAAGGAUGUGGCCCAGCAUUGCUGGGUCUAUUUAAGAUGGGUAUGACGUGAACAUCAAUGAAGAAAGACAGGCUUUCUAAGAGGGAGUGGUGAUCUGCAGUUCUCUGGGAAGACUUAGCACCCUAUUGGUCAUCAGUGCCUGACAACAGGCUGGCUGUGGGCCUUUGGAUUUUCCCACUGACCUCAUUUUUCAAGGUUGCAUUUUCCACCUCUGAUGGUUUCAGGUUUGAUCUUAAAAUAACUCUACCUUGCAGUGAUUCAUCCACAUCUAAGGGUUGGGUUUCCUGGCCUCUUCUGAGCCUGGUCGUAUUGAAAUGUAUUUCACACCCAAUAUCUGUCAACAACGGGAGAGAGCUGAAGAUAACAUGACAAGCUUUGACUUGGAAAGGUAUAGUAUUAGGUGCUUAUGUAUUUUCCAAAAACAGGUACAACUCUGCAUUGCCAUGGUGACAUAGCCCUUCUUAAUUCUCCUAAGCAAUGAAAAUUAGGGGACUUACUGGCCAGAGAAUGAAAGUAUGGACCCAGGGGCCUGGGAGAUGACACAUACUUGUUCAUGAGUUUGGAAGCCCACUUAGUUCAGGGAGAGAAAGCAUAAUUCAAAAAUGGCUAGCUACUGACAUCCAAGAAUAGGAUUUAGAUCCAUC